GACGAACGCUGGCGGCGUGCUUAACACAUGCAAGUCGAACGGAAAGGCCCUGCUUUUGUGGGGUGCUCGAGUGGCGAACGGGUGAGUAACACGUGAGUAACCUGCCCUUGACUUUGGGAUAACUUCAGGAAACUGGGGCUAAUACCGGAUAGGAGCUCCUGCUGCAUGGUGGGGGUUGGAAAGUUUCGGCGGUUGGGGAUGGACUCGCGGCUUAUCAGCUUGUUGGUGGGGUAGUGGCUAACCAAGGUUUCGACGGGUAGCCGGCCUGAGAGGGUGACCGGCCACAUUGGGACUGAGAUACGGCCCAGACUCCUACGGGAGGCAGCAGUGGGGAAUAUUGCACAAUGGGCGGAAGCCUGAUGCAGCAACGCCGCGUGCGGGAUGACGGCCUUCGGGUUGUAAACCGCUUUCGCCUGUGACGAAGCGUGAGUGACGGUAAUGGGUAAAGAAGCACCGGCUAACUACGUG
RNAcentral lists this ribosomal RNA (468 nucleotides) under uncultured bacterium. RNAcentral describes it as "partial 16S ribosomal RNA". It matches the Rfam family "Bacterial small subunit ribosomal RNA", at positions 28 to 507 of the family's 1533-position model. The record is from RNAcentral.